RNAcentral lists this ribosomal RNA (873 nucleotides) under uncultured Pseudomonadales bacterium. Its description in RNAcentral is "bacterial SSU rRNA". It matches the Rfam family "Bacterial small subunit ribosomal RNA", at positions 28 to 896 of the family's 1533-position model. The record is from RNAcentral. Lineage: Bacteria; Pseudomonadati; Pseudomonadota; Gammaproteobacteria; Pseudomonadales.
AUUGAACGCUGGCGGCAGGCCUAACACAUGCAAGUCGAGCGGAUGAAGGGAGCUUGCUCCUGGAUUCAGCGGCGGACGGGUGAGUAAUGCCUAGGAAUCUGCCUGGUAGUGGGGGAUAACGUCCGGAAACGGGCGCUAAUACCGCAUACGUCCUGAGGGAGAAAGUGGGGGAUCUUCGGACCUCACGCUAUCAGAUGAGCCUAGGUCGGAUUAGCUAGUUGGUGGGGUAAAGGCCUACCAAGGCGACGAUCCGUAACUGGUCUGAGAGGAUAAUCAGUCACACUGGAACUGAGACACGGUCCAGACUCCUACGGGAGGCAGCAGUGGGGAAUAUUGGACAAUGGGCGAAAGCCUGAUCCAGCCAUGCCGCGUGUGUGAAGAAGGUCUUCGGAUUGUAAAGCACUUUAAGUUGGGAGGAAGGGCAGUAAGUUAAUACCUUGCUGUUUUGACGUUACCAACAGAAUAAGCACCGGCUAACUUCGUGCCAGCAGCCGCGGUAAUACGAAGGGUGCAAGCGUUAAUCGGAAUUACUGGGCGUAAAGCGCGCGUAGGUGGUUCAGCAAGUUGGAUGUGAAAUCCCCGGGCUCAACCUGGGAACUGCAUCCAAAACUACUGAGCUAGAGUACGGUAGAGGGUGGUGGAAUUUCCUGUGUAGCGGUGAAAUGCGUAGAUAUAGGAAGGAACACCAGUGGCGAAGGCGACCACCUGGACUGAUACUGACACUGAGGUGCGAAAGCGUGGGGAGCAAACAGGAUUAGAUACCCUGGUAGUCCACGCCGUAAACGAUGUCGACUAGCCGUUGGGAUCCUUGAGAUCUUAGUGGCGCAGCUAACGCGAUAAGUCGACCGCCUGGGGAGUACGGCCGCAAGGUUA